UGGGGAAUUUUGGACAAUGGGCGAAAGCCUGAUCCAGCAAUGCCGCGUGUGUGAAGAAGGCCUUCGGGUUGUAAAGCACUUUUGUCCGGAAAGAAAUCCUUGGCUCUAAUACAGUCGGGGGAUGACGGUACCGGAAGAAUAAGCACCGGCUAACUACGUGCCAGCAGCCGCGGUAAUACGUAGGGUGCAAGCGUUAAUCGGAAUUACUGGGCGUAAAGCGUGCGCAGGCGGUUUGCUAAGACCGAUGUGAAAUCCCGGGCUCAACCUGGGAACUGCAUUGGUGACUGGCAGGCUAGAGUAUGGCAGAGGGGGGUAGAAUUCCACGUGUAGCAGUGAAAUGCGUAGAGAUGUGGAGGAAUACCGAUGGCGAAGGCAGCCCCCUGGGCCAAUACUGACGCUCAUGCACGAAAGCGUGGGGAGCAAACAGGAUUAGAUACCCUGGUAGUCCACGCCCAUAAACGAUGUCAACUAGUUGUUGGGGAUUCAUUUCCUAGUAACGUAGCUAACGCGUGAAGUUGACCGCCUGGGGAGUACGGUCGCAAGAUUAAAACUUAAAGGAAUUGACGGGGUCAU
This 573-nucleotide ribosomal RNA is filed under the name uncultured bacterium. RNAcentral's name for it is "partial 16S ribosomal RNA". It matches the Rfam family "Bacterial small subunit ribosomal RNA", at positions 355 to 922 of the family's 1533-position model. The record is from RNAcentral.